AAGGCCACCACCUGAUGUGCAUGUUGCUUCUUUUUUCGCCUCACCACGAAAAAACUUCCGCCGGGAGGACGCUGGGAGGAUUGAAUGAUUGACACCUCUUUCCUGAUUGGGGGGUGGUGGUGCAUGGCUGCUCUUGGGGAGGAUUUAUUUGUCUGGUUAAUUCCAAUAACGAACCACUCUCCUACCUACUAAACAGACCACCUUCUUUUAACCGUCGGACUUCCUUCUUAGAGGGACAGACAUUGAUUCAACCGAAACAAAACAUACCAAGGUCUGUGAUGCCAUUCCCUUACAGGUCCCGCGCGCCAGGCGCGCUACACUGAAGUGAUGCAUUGCAUUCCUGCUCCUGCUCCGCUGGGAGAGCCCUACCCCCUUCACCGUCUUCGUGAUUGGAAUAUGUGAUUGUCUCCUUCUCCUUGAACGACCAGUAUCCGCAAGGCGUAAGCUAGCGUCUUGUACUUGAUUGCGCCUAUGCCCCUCCGACAGUCUGUACGACGAUACUACUGAUAGAGUGAGGUC
This 519-nucleotide ribosomal RNA is filed under the name uncultured eukaryote. RNAcentral's name for it is "bacterial SSU rRNA". It matches the Rfam family "Eukaryotic small subunit ribosomal RNA", at positions 1160 to 1700 of the family's 1831-position model. The record is from RNAcentral.